AGGACAAACGCUGGCGGCGUACCUAAGACAUGCAAGUCGAACGGACUGCAGGUUUUUCGGAUUUGCAGUGAGUGGCGAACGGGUGAGUAACGCGUAGGAACCCGCCUCGACGUGGGGGGAUAACACUUGGAAACAGGUGCUAAUACCGCAUGUGGUCGGAAGAAGAAAGGCUCUAGCAAUAGAGUCGCGUUGAGAGGGGCCUGCGUCCGAUUAGCUAGUUGGUGGGUAAAGGCUCACCAAGGCGACGAUCGGUAGCUGGUCUGAGAGGAUGGUCAGCCACACUGGGACUGAGACACGGCCCAGACUCCUACGGGAGGCAGCAGUUAGGAAAUUUUGCCAAUGGGGGAAACCCUGAGCGAGUAACGCCGCGUGGAGGAAGACGGCCUUCGGGUUGUAAACUCCUUUUCUGUGGGACGAUGAUGACGGUACCACAGGAAUAAGCCCCGGCUAACGUACGUGCCAGCAGCCGC
Molecule: ribosomal RNA, 470 nt
Filed under: uncultured bacterium
Lineage: Bacteria
Description: SSU rRNA
Rfam family: Bacterial small subunit ribosomal RNA
Source: RNAcentral